Molecule: ribosomal RNA, 497 nt
Filed under: uncultured bacterium
Lineage: Bacteria
Description: partial 16S ribosomal RNA
Rfam family: Bacterial small subunit ribosomal RNA
Source: RNAcentral
GAUGAACGCUGGCGGCGUGCCUAAUACAUGCAAGUCGAGCGAACAGACGAGGAGCUUGCUCCUCUGACGUUAGCGGCGGACGGGUGAGUAACACGUGGAUAACCUACCUAUAAGACUGGGAUAACGUCGGGAAGCCGGAGCUAAUACCGGAUAAUAUAUUGAACCGCAUGGUUCAAUAGUGAAAGACGGUUUUGCUGUCACUUAUAGAUGGAUCCGCGCCGCAUUAGCUAGUUGGUAAGGUAACGGCUUACCAAGGCAACGAUGCGUAGCCGACCUGAGAGGGUGAUCGGCCACACUGGAACUGAGACACGGUCCAGACUCCUACGGGAGGCAGCAGUAGGGAAUCUUCCGCAAUGGGCGAAAGCCUGACGGAGCAACGCCGCGUGAGUGAUGAAGGUCUUCGGAUCGUAAAACUCUGUUAUUAGGGAAGAACAAAUGUGUAAGUAACUAUGCACGUCUUGACGGUACCUAAUCAGAAAGCCACGGCUAACUACGUG